RNAcentral lists this ribosomal RNA (485 nucleotides) under Pseudomonas sp. CL4.61. RNAcentral's name for it is "bacterial SSU rRNA". It matches the Rfam family "Bacterial small subunit ribosomal RNA", at positions 17 to 497 of the family's 1533-position model. Lineage: Bacteria; Pseudomonadati; Pseudomonadota; Gammaproteobacteria; Pseudomonadales; Pseudomonadaceae. The record is from RNAcentral.
CCCUGGCUCAGAUUGAACGCUGGCGGCAGGCCUAACACAUGCAAGUCGAGCGGAUGACAGGAGCUUGCUCCUGAAUUCAGCGGCGGACGGGUGAGUAAUGCCUAGGAAUCUGCCUGGUAGUGGGGGACAACGUCUCGAAAGGGACGCUAAUACCGCAUACGUCCUACGGGAGAAAGCAGGGGACCUUCGGGCCUUGCGCUAUCAGAUGAGCCUAGGUCGGAUUAGCUAGUUGGUGAGGUAAUGGCUCACCAAGGCGACGAUCCGUAACUGGUCUGAGAGGAUGAUCAGUCACACUGGAACUGAGACACGGUCCAGACUCCUACGGGAGGCAGCAGUGGGGAAUAUUGGACAAUGGGCGAAAGCCUGAUCCAGCCAUGCCGCGUGUGUGAAGAAGGUCUUCGGAUUGUAAAGCACUUUAAGUUGGGAGGAAGGGCAUUAACCUAAUACGUUAGUGUUUUGACGUUACCGACAGAAUAAGCACCGGC